CCUACGGGAGGCUGCAGUGGGGAAUAUUGGACAAUGGGCGAAAGCCUGAUCCAGCCAUGCCGCGUGUGUGAAGAAGGCCUUCGGGUUGUAAAGCACUUUCAGUGGGGAAGAAAGCCUUGGGGCUAAUACCCUCGAGGAAGGACAUCACCCACAGAAGAAGCACCGGCUAACUCCGUGCCAGCAGCCGCGGUAAUACGGAGGGUGCGAGCGUUAAUCGGAAUUACUGGGCGUAAAGCGCGGUGAGGCGGUCUGAUAAGCCGGUUGUGAAAGCCCCGGGCUCAACCUGGGAACGGCAUCCGGAACUGUCAGGCUAGAGUGCAGGAGAGGAAGGUAGAAUUCCCGGUGUAGCGGUGAAAUGCGUAGAGAUCGGGCGGAAUACCAGUGGCGAAGGCGGCCUUCUGGACUGACACUGACGCUGAGGUGCGAAAGCGUGGGUAGCAAACAGGAUUAGAGACCCCUGUAGUC
This 465-nucleotide ribosomal RNA is filed under the name Vreelandella stevensii. Its description in RNAcentral is "partial 16S ribosomal RNA". It matches the Rfam family "Bacterial small subunit ribosomal RNA", at positions 338 to 795 of the family's 1533-position model. Lineage: Bacteria; Pseudomonadati; Pseudomonadota; Gammaproteobacteria; Oceanospirillales; Halomonadaceae. The record is from RNAcentral.